Molecule: ribosomal RNA, 398 nt
Filed under: Clostridioides difficile
Lineage: Bacteria; Bacillati; Bacillota; Clostridia; Peptostreptococcales; Peptostreptococcaceae
Description: partial 23S ribosomal RNA
Rfam family: Bacterial large subunit ribosomal RNA
Source: RNAcentral
CUCGAUGUCGGCUCAUCACAUCCUGGGGCUGUAGUAGGUCCCAAGGGUUGGGCUGUUCGCCCAUUAAAGUGGUACGCGAGCUGGGUUCAGAACGUCGUGAGACAGUUCGGUCCCUAUCCGUCGCAGGCGUAGGAAAUUUGAGAAGACCUGUCCUUAGUACGAGAGGACCGGGAUGGACGUACCUCUGGUGUACCAGUUGUCCUGCCAAGGGCAUGGCUGGGUAGCUAUGUACGGAAUGGAUAAGCGCUGAAAGCAUCUAAGCGCGAAGCCAACUUCAAGAUAAGAUUUCCCACCGCAAGGGUAAGACCCCAGAAAGACUAUCUGGUUGAUAGGUCGAAGGUGUAAGUGCAGCAAUGUAUUUAGCUUAUCGAUACUAAUAGGUCGAGGACUUGACCAAU